UCAAAUGAUGACAAAGGACCCAUGGUCCGAUAAUCUUAACCCAGCUCUUCGAAGACCAAAGGUCUCCUGAGAUAAGAAACCCAUUCUGAUA
Molecule: small nucleolar RNA, 91 nt
Organism: Colletotrichum incanum
Lineage: Eukaryota; Fungi; Ascomycota; Sordariomycetes; Glomerellales; Glomerellaceae
Source: Rfam